UGAGAUGCAGCUCAGUGGCAGAGUGCUUGCCUAGCACUUGUGAGACCCUGGGUUCAAUCCCCAGCACCUCAA
Molecule: transfer RNA, 72 nt
Filed under: Urocitellus parryii (Arctic ground squirrel)
Lineage: Eukaryota; Metazoa; Chordata; Mammalia; Rodentia; Sciuridae
Also listed under: 1 other name
Description: Spermophilus parryii (Arctic ground squirrel) tRNA
Rfam family: tRNA
About the family: Transfer RNA (tRNA) molecules are approximately 80 nucleotides in length.
Source: Rfam by way of RNAcentral